UACGUAGGGUGCAAGCGUUGUCCGGAAUUAUUGGGCGUAAAGAGCUCGUAGGCGGUCUGUCGCGUCGGCUGUGAAAUCCCGGAGCUCAACUCCGGGUCUGCAGUCGAUACGGGCAAACUGGAGUACUGCAGGGGAGACUGGAAUUCCUGGUGUAGCGGUGGAAUGCGCAGAUAUCAGGAGGAACACCGGUGGCGAAGGCGGGUCUCUGGGCCGAAACUGACGCUGAGGAGCGAAAGCGUGGGGAGCGAACAGG
This 253-nucleotide ribosomal RNA is filed under the name uncultured bacterium. RNAcentral describes it as "partial 16S ribosomal RNA". It matches the Rfam family "Bacterial small subunit ribosomal RNA", at positions 524 to 776 of the family's 1533-position model. The record is from RNAcentral.